CCCCGCAUGGGGAUAUUUGCUAAAGAUUCAUCGCUGAUAGAUAGGCAUGCGUUCCAUUAGGCAGUUGGCGGGGUAACGGCCCACCAAACCGACGAUGGAUAGGGGUUCUGAGAGGAAGGUCCCCCACAUUGGUACUGAGACACGGACCAAACUCCUACGGGAGGCAGCAGUGAGGAAUAUUGGUCAAUGGGCGUAAGCCUGAACCAGCCAAGUCGCGUGAGGGAUGAAGGUUCUAUGGAUCGUAAACCUCUUUUAUAAGGGAAUAAAGUGCGGGACGUGUCCUGUUUUGUAUGUACCUUAUGAAUAAGGAUCGGCUAACUCCGUGCCAGCAGCCGCGGUAAUACGGAGGAUCCGAGCGUUAUCCGGAUUUAUUGGGUUUAAAGGGUGCGUAGGCGGCCUUUUAAGUCAGCGGUGAAAGUCUGUGGCUCAACCAUAGAAUUGCCGUUGAAACUGGGAGGCUUGAGUAUGUUUGAGGCAGGCGGAAUGCGUGGUGUAGCGGUGAAAUGCUUAGAUAUCACGCAGAACCCCGAUUGCGAAGGCAGCCUGCCGAGCCAUGACUGACGCUGAUGCACGAAAGCGUGGGGAUCAAACAGGAUUAGAUACCCUGGUAGUCCACGCAGUAAACGAUGAUCACUAGCUGUUUGCGAUACAGUGUAAGCGGCACAGCGAAAGCGUUAAGUGAUCCACCUGGGGAGUAC
Molecule: ribosomal RNA, 698 nt
Filed under: uncultured bacterium
Lineage: Bacteria
Description: bacterial SSU rRNA
Rfam family: Bacterial small subunit ribosomal RNA
Source: RNAcentral